AGUGAACGCUGGCGGCAGGCCUAACACAUGCAAGUCGAACGGCAGCACGGCAGUAGCAAUACUGUGGGUGGCGAGUGGCGGACGGGUGAGGAAUACAUCGGGAUCUACCCUGUUGUGGGGGAUAACGUAGGGAAACUUACGCUAAUACCGCAUAAGAACUGAGGUUGAAAGCGGCGGACCGCAAGGCGUCGCGCGAUUGGAUGAACCGAUGUCCGAUUAGCUAGUUGGCGGGGUAAAGGCCCACCAAGGCGACGAUCGGUAGCUGGUCUGAGAGGACGACCAGCCACACUGGAACUGAGACACGGUCCAGACUCCUACGGGAGGCAGCAGUGGGGAAUAUUGGACAAUGGGCGCAAGCCUGAUCCAGCCAUGCCGCGUGGGUGAAGAAGGCCUUCGGGUUGUAAAGCCCUUUUGUCCGGAAAGAAAAGCAUUCGGUUAAUACCCGGGUGUUCUGACGGUACCGGAAGAAUAAGCACCGGCUAACUUCGUG
This 490-nucleotide ribosomal RNA is filed under the name uncultured bacterium. RNAcentral describes it as "bacterial SSU rRNA". It matches the Rfam family "Bacterial small subunit ribosomal RNA", at positions 29 to 507 of the family's 1533-position model. The record is from RNAcentral.